RNAcentral lists this ribosomal RNA (252 nucleotides) under uncultured Mollicutes bacterium. RNAcentral describes it as "partial 16S ribosomal RNA". It matches the Rfam family "Bacterial small subunit ribosomal RNA", at positions 524 to 776 of the family's 1533-position model. Lineage: Bacteria; Bacillati; Mycoplasmatota; Mollicutes. The record is from RNAcentral.
UACGUAGGGAGCGAGCGUUAUCCGGAUUUAUUGGGUGUAAAGGGUGCGUAGGCGGUUUAACAGGUCUAUGGUCUAAUUCCGAAGCUUAACUUCGGUUCGCCAUAGAAACCGUUUUACUUGAGUAUGGUAGAGGCAAGUGGAAUUUCUAGUGUAGCGGUUAAAUGCGUAGAUAUUAGAAGGAACACCAGUGGCGAAGGCGACUUGCUGGGCCAUCACUGACGCUGAGGCACGAAAGCGUGGGGAGCAAAUAGG